Long non-coding RNA from Brienomyrus brachyistius, 3681 nucleotides. RefSeq lists it as uncharacterized. Lineage: Eukaryota; Metazoa; Chordata; Actinopteri; Osteoglossiformes; Mormyridae. The record is from RefSeq and is a predicted model, not a curated record. The transcript is spliced from 3 exons.
UUAGACUCUCUUAUUGCUUGAAAUUACUCACUGUCCAAGUGUGAUUAAGCUUUCGCCAGUUUUACUAGAAAGGUUUACAUUAGGUUUCUGCUACAGCAUACAGUUAACAGAUGAAUUCAUAUAGUACUGAAACAAAGAGUGAAGUAGAACUAAAAUCAGGCUCAAAUAAUGAGUAGAGUAAAUGUUACACUGCGCUGAAAGCAAACUGAAGCUGAACUGGAACUGAGACAGAAUGAAGUUUGAGCAAGAAUAAAUGACCCAGAAAAAGAUCAAUGAAAAGUGAAAUACCUUGGUCGACUCUGGGAGUGGAGUUUAGUUUUGGAUACUGAUCAGUCCUGUAACUUUAACAUAAUAAUGAGCGGGAUCGACACAGAGGCCUCCAGCCAUUUGGGGCAGGCUGGCCUUUAAUCGCUGGUUUGAGUAUGAAUACAAGCGAGGAAAAGGGGGGGGUGCUCUUUGUUCGCGGUGUUACAUGGAGAGGUGGCACUUGAGAAGGAUGAAGGAGAGCCGGUGGAGAUAAAGGUGUCACACAUACACAUGCUGGGCUGUAGCUCUGCAAUGAGGGGCUGCAAACACAGACAGCACUAGCCGCAUUCAGAGGGACAAGGCCAGUCAGCGGGCUGCUCCCAUUGUAUGUAGCCCCACACAGCAGUGAGGUGGUGUGUGUCUGGCUGAAAGAGAGACAUGAGAGCAGCCGGAUGGUCCUGAAGCAGGUGGCCCUUCACAUCUCGCAAAGGAGCCAUGAGGGCACCAUCCCCACCCUGGCCUGUCAUGCUCCCGCCGGUCUCUGGCGCUGACUAGCCUGCCUGAAUGUUUGUUCAGUCAUGGAUGCAUGGAUGGAUGGAUGAUGGAUGGUGUCUUUUGUAUGUACUAUGUAUCCUGUGAUUUUGUGGGUCGAUUUGAAAUGACUCCAGACUCUUUCGGCAAUUAAACAAAAAAAUGACUUUUUUUCCAAAACAUCUCGCCCCCUGGUGAAAUUGAAAUGGCCCCCAGUGACAACAGCGUUAAGAUCAUGUCGGCCUGCUCACACAGGACACAUAUUGAGAGGGGAAUUUUGUGAAAUUGUAGUGUCACAUAUUCCCCAUAGAUGUCAACAGGUCUUGACAGGUUUAGAGAAGACUAGCGCAUUGGUGGUAACGGUCACUCUCCUGCUCAGCUGCGAUGUGGGGGCUAAUAGUCUUUUGUGAUUUUUUUUUCUCCUAUUAUUGAGGUUUUAUUCCCCAAUGAUAACAGGCCAGCUGUUGAGCCAGGCGAACAUGCUCCUGUCUUCAUCCGCUCCUCGGAAAUGGUGCUAGCGGAGGCCGCACCGACUGUGACGUAACACGAGAUCGCUAUCACAGCGCGUAUCUGUCCGUUUUACGUGGUUUUUUUUCGGUCGGAAUCCCCCUGGCACAGUUCUAACGUGUAGAUUACUUUCAUAAACAGGAUAUUCCACAACUUCAGUUAUAUUCCAAAUCGGAUCCAUAUGAUGAUUAUGUUUUGCUCCAUCUGUUCGUAAUUCCUGGUGAAUUAUUUUAACUAGGCACUAGUUGAGUGUUUCGGAGGAGCUGUUUUUUGGUUGUUAUUAUCAGCUGCUCGUCUUUCUGCGCAUGCACAUCGCCCCGCAUGCACAUCGCCCCGCAUGCAGAUCCCCCCCGGUACCGAGCCGUCCCAGCGUUUAAACCAGCGUUUCCCAAUCCAGCCCCUUUGAGGUACGGCGCUCAGCAUAAAUGAGUACACAUCCCGUUUGAGGUAUGGCGCUCAGCGUAAAUGAGUACACAUCCUGUUUGAGGUAUGGCGCUCAGCGUAAAUGAGUACACAUCCUGUUUGAGGUACGGCGCUCAGGGUAAAUGAGUACACAUCCCGUUUGAGGUAUGGCGCUCAGCGUAAAUGAGUACACAUCCUGUUUGAGGUACGGCGCUCAGGGUAAAUGAGUACACACCCCCUUUGAGGUACAGCGCUCAGUGUAAAUGAGUACACAUCCCGUUUGAGGUAUGGCGCUCAGGGUAAAUGAGUACACAUCCCGUUUGAGGUAUGGCGCUCAGCGUAAAUGAGUACACAUCCCGUUUGAGGUACGGCGCUCAGCGUAAAUGAGUACACAUCCCGUUUGAGGUAUGGCGCUCAGCGUAAAGGAGUACACAUCCCGUUUGAGGUACGGCGCUCAGCGUAAAUGAGUACACAUCCCGUUUGAGGUACGGCGCUCAGCGUAAAUGAGUACACAUCUCGUUUGAGGUAUGGCGCUCAGCGUAAAUGAGUACACAUCCCGUUUGAGGUAUGGCGCUCAGCGUAAAUGAGUACACAUCCCGUUUGAGGUAUGGCGCUCAGCGUAAAUGAGUACACAUCCCGUUUGAGGUAUGGCACAGCGUAAAUGAGUACACAUCCCGUUUGAGGUAUGGCGCUCAGCGUAAAUGAGUACACAUCCCGUUUGAGGUAUGGCACUCAGCAUAAAUGAGUACGCCCCCUUUGAGGUAUGGCACUCAGCGUAAAUGAGUACACAUCCCAUUUGAGGUAUGGCGCUCAGGGUAAAUGAGUACACAUCCCAUUUGAGGUAUGGCACUCAGCAUAAAUGAGUACACACCCCCUUUGAAAAUUUAUAUUUUUAUCCAUUUUGCAGUGAACACCAGAACAUUUACCCAUUUUGUUUCAUUAGCAACAUAAAAGCUUGGUUAUCAGUAUCAUUAGAAUAAGAAAAUAAUACAUUUUAUUCAAAUGAAGUAUUGCAAAAAAUGAACACACCCUACAACAAAUUCUGCAAAGUUUUAAUAUUUUGUAUGGCAUACAUGAUUUUGAAGAACAGAACCAACUUUUCUACACAUGGAAUAAUCAAGUUACUUACAGCACUCAUACAAGCCCAUAGGUGAACACUGCCACCGCCAUGCCGUUCUGUGGGUACCUUGCAUUUGCCAUUGUACACUUUUGAUGGCAUCAGUUCCAAAAAGAUUUGCCUUUGACUCAUCACUCCGAAGUGAGUCUCCGUGGUCUUCACCUUUGUCUGAGUGGGCCCUGGCAAACGCUAAACAGCUCUUUUGUGCAUUGGCUUUAGCAAUGGCUUCCUUCGUGACGACGCCCGUCCAUGGCACUCCUCUGCAUUGUGUCGCGGGAAACGGUCACCCCACUUUGGCCUUCUGUUGCUUUAGGUGACUGUAAUGAACUUGCAUUGCAAUUUUCCUCAACUCUUCUUAUAAAAAGCUCAUGCUAAGGGGCUGGCUUCCAUGGACGUCCCGGACGUCUCAGCUUGUCACAUCUUUUUUGAAUUUCAAAUUCACUUUCAUUACUGUAUUCUGACUGAUUAGCAAUGCUCUACUAAUUGAAAUUACUUUUCUCAAGUCUUGCGAUUUUAAUUUUUUUUUCCACUUGUGGUGCGAUUUUUGUCAGCAUUAAAUGGGAGGGGGUUUUAUUUGUUAAAAACCACCCUUAAUUCUCAGUUUUCUGGUGCCCACCUGUGUGAUGAUUAAGUAGACUCAUCUGUUGCAUUCAUGUUAAUUAGCAUUUUAUAAGUUUUGUUCCAAGCACCUUCAUUUCGGUGCACUCACUUUUGCACCAUGGUCUUAAAUUUAGCUAAAAAAAAUCUGUUUUGUUUUUUGUAUUAACAAAUCUCAUUUGCAAACAAAAUAAAUUUUCUGGAAUAUGUUAUGGUAUAGGAGCCCAAAUGAAGUACAAAUUCUAAAGAGAACGUAACACUAAAACCAUUUUCAGAUGAAA